AGAAACAAUGAUCCCGGCUCUGUUCAGAGGGAAGAGUGCAGAAUUUAGCCCACCAUUAAUGGAAUUAGAUGCACAAGAAGCAACAGCCUCAUCUCUCUUUGAAGUUGAUACAGAAAUGACCUCGGAAUCCAAGUCAUUAAUAAGGGGAGAUUCAUCAGAGACAAUGAUCCCGGCUCAGUUUGGAGAAACAACCUCGGAAUCCAAGUCAUUAACAGAGGAAGAUCCGUCAGAAACAAUGAUCCCGGCUCUGUUCAGAG
RNAcentral lists this unclassified non-coding RNA (257 nucleotides) under Hevea brasiliensis (rubber tree). The record is from RNAcentral. Lineage: Eukaryota; Viridiplantae; Streptophyta; Magnoliopsida; Malpighiales; Euphorbiaceae.